This is a long non-coding RNA of Mustela erminea (ermine), 997 nucleotides long. RefSeq lists it as uncharacterized. The record is from RefSeq and is a predicted model, not a curated record. Lineage: Eukaryota; Metazoa; Chordata; Mammalia; Carnivora; Mustelidae. The transcript is spliced from 3 exons.
GACCUCACUCCUCAGCUCCAUCUCUGCCCCCAGCUUCCCUGCUCCGAUACCCGGGAGCGCUGCCACACUUGGACACCCCCACUCUUUCCGUCUCCCCGAGGGUCCUGAGACCACACUGUCCCUGCGAGGACUCCACCCCCCUUAGCCACUGGAGCGACGUCCCUCCCUGGAGCAGACUUCUAAACGUUCUGAUUUUGGCCCCGCUGCUCUCUCGCUUGCUGACCCAGUGACCUGAUGAAGUACCAUACCCCCUUCAUCUCUGGUGACCAGGUGCUACUCAGGACCUGCAGGGAACAGGGCCAACUUGCUAAAAAGUGGAUGGGACCACGUGACCUAUUAGUGGCUCUCUAAUCAUCUCUUACACGUUGGCUGUCGUGAAAUCUUGGAUACAUCACAGAUGGGUGAAAACAGCCCCAUUUGAGGAAUCAGAAACAACCUGAAGCUUCCUCGUGGACAUACUUCAGCUGAAACCAGGAUGCAUCCUGGGUGUUGGGACUGCUGGCUUUUGAACUAGAACCACACCACUGCUUCUCCUAGUUCUCUCCUUGCUGACUGCAGAUCUUGGUACUUCUCAGCCACCAGAAUCAUGUGAGUCAAUCAUUACAAUACAUAUGUAUAUCCUAUUGGUUCUGUGUUUCUGCAAUAUCUUGCCUAAUGGAACAGAGUGUAGAAGCAGCACUAAGGAUGGCCCAUGUGAGCAGCUGAGUGUGAUCUUUCCAAAAAAAGGUUAAACAAUUUAAUGGGGAAGAAGUUUGCUUUCAGGAGCCUGUAGCCCUCAGCAGUUCAUAAAGGGACACUGAAGAGCUUAAGAAAAGCUCAUCCGAGGAAUGGAACAAGUGUUUGUGUCCUAGAGGCAGAGGGGACACCCCCUCAAGAUCAACAAGGGUAGAAAGACCUCCAGGUACAUUAUUGUGAAACACAUGAGAUACAUGUGAAAUACAUGAAAUACAUAUUCAGAGAAGAUGUCUUAAGGGCAGCUGGCGGGGGGUGGGGGAGA